ACGGGUGAGUAAUGCGUAGGAAUCUAUCUUGUAGAGUGGGACAACCUAGGGAAACUUAGGCUAAUACCACGUAAGCCCGAAAGGGGAAAGCAGGGGACCGUAAGGCCUUGCGCUAUAAGGUGAGCCUACGUCGGAUUAGCUAGUUGGUGGGGUAAAGGCCUACCAAGGCUACGAUCCGUAGCUGGUCUGAGAGGGCGACCAGCCACACUGGGACUGAGACACGGCCCAGACUCCUACGGGAGGCAGCAGUGGGGAAUCUUGGACAAUGGGCGAAAGCCUGAUCCAGCAAUGCCGCGUGUGUGAAGAAGGCCUUCGGGUUGUAAAGCACUUUCGGUGGGGAGGAAGAGUCGUUUGUGAAUAACAGGCGACGAAGACGUUACCCACAAAAGAAGCACCGGCCAACUCUGUGCCAGCAGCCGCGGUAAUACAGAGGGUGCAAGCGUUAAUCGGAAUUACUGGGCGUAAAGGGUGCGUAGGCGGUGAUAUAAGUUGGAUGUGAAAGACUCGAGCUUAACUUGGGGGUUGCAUUCAAGACUGUAUUACUAGAGUACUGUAGAGGAAGGCGGAAUUUCCGGUGUAGCG
RNAcentral lists this ribosomal RNA (582 nucleotides) under uncultured bacterium. Its description in RNAcentral is "bacterial SSU rRNA". It matches the Rfam family "Bacterial small subunit ribosomal RNA", at positions 102 to 680 of the family's 1533-position model. The record is from RNAcentral.